This 248-nucleotide long non-coding RNA is filed under the name Elaeis guineensis (African oil palm). RNAcentral describes it as "long non-coding RNA (EGUI_LNC032182)". Lineage: Eukaryota; Viridiplantae; Streptophyta; Magnoliopsida; Arecales; Arecaceae. The record is from RNAcentral.
GAAUGGGCCAGUCCAAUCAGGUUUUCUCUCUUAAUUUUUUUUUAAAAAGAAAAAACCUAAGCCCUAACCCGACGUCGAUGGUGUAUCCGUGCCGUGCCUACACAUUGUAUCAUGGUAGCAGUAGGGAUGACCUAGCCUUGAUCAAUGACCUCUUUGGCAUGAGCAGUCUAUCGAUUGAUCAGGCCAGCAACAUCACCAACAACUCCACCACCACCCUCCACUCCGAUCAGCCCCUUCUCAUCCCCCUC